UACGAAGGGGGCUAGCGUUGCUCGGAAUUACUGGGCGUAAAGCGCACGUAGGCGGAUGUGUCAGUCAGGGGUGAAAUCCCGGAGCUCAACUUCGGAACUGCCUCUGAUACAGCACGUCUUGAGUCCGGAAGAGGUGGGUGGAAUUCCUAGUGUAGAGGUGAAAUUCGUAGAUAUUAGGAAGAACACCGGUGGCGAAGGCGGCCCACUGGUCCGGUACUGACGCUGAGGUGCGAAAGCGUGGGGAGCAAACAGG
RNAcentral lists this ribosomal RNA (253 nucleotides) under uncultured bacterium. RNAcentral's name for it is "partial 16S ribosomal RNA". It matches the Rfam family "Bacterial small subunit ribosomal RNA", at positions 524 to 776 of the family's 1533-position model. The record is from RNAcentral.